Molecule: unclassified non-coding RNA, 181 nt
Filed under: uncultured Tubeufiales
Lineage: Eukaryota; Fungi; Ascomycota; Dothideomycetes
Description: sequence contains ITS2
Source: RNAcentral
CAAACCUCAAGCAACUGCUUGGUAAUUGAGCUUUUCGUCUUGUUCAUUCGAGACGUGCUCGAAACUUGUGGGCGGUGCUGACCAGCAUCUUUGCGUAGUCAUAUAAUUUCGCAUCUGAUAUAACUGGUUUUGGCUACUCGCCGGAUAAAUCUUGGUUCUUUCGAAUCAUAAUUUUUCUCAG